Molecule: ribosomal RNA, 2913 nt
Filed under: Vibrio cholerae
Lineage: Bacteria; Pseudomonadati; Pseudomonadota; Gammaproteobacteria; Vibrionales; Vibrionaceae
Description: 23S ribosomal RNA
Rfam family: Bacterial large subunit ribosomal RNA
Source: RNAcentral
GUUGUAUGGUUAAGUGACUAAGCGUACACGGUGGAUGCCUGGGCAGUCAGAGGCGAUGAAGGACGUACUAACUUGCGAUAAGCGCAGAUAAGGCAGUAAGAGCCGUUUGAGUCUGCGAUUUCCGAAUGGGGAAACCCAACUGCAUAAGCAGUUACUGUUAACUGAAUACAUAGGUUAACAGAGCAAACCGGGGGAACUGAAACAUCUAAGUACCCGAGGAGAAGAAAUCAACCGAGAUUCCGGUAGUAGCGGCGAGCGAACCUGGAUUAGCCCUUAAGCACUCGGUGAAGUAGGUGAACAAGCUGGAAAGCUUGGCGAUACAGGGUGAUAGCCCCGUAACCGACGCUUCAUCGAGCGUGAAAUCGAGUAGGGCGGGACACGUGAUAUCCUGUCUGAAUAUGGGGGACCAUCCUCCAAGGCUAAAUACUCCUGACUGACCGAUAGUGAACCAGUACCGUGAGGGAAAGGCGAAAAGAACCCCUGUGAGGGGAGUGAAAUAGAACCUGAAACCGUGUACGUACAAGCAGUAGGAGCACCUUCGUGGUGUGACUGCGUACCUUUUGUAUAAUGGGUCAGCGACUUAUAUUCAGUGGCAAGGUUAACCGUAUAGGGGAGCCGUAGCGAAAGCGAGUCUUAACUGGGCGCUCAGUCUCUGGAUAUAGACCCGAAACCGGGUGAUCUAGCCAUGGGCAGGUUGAAGGUUGAGUAACAUCAACUGGAGGACCGAACCGACUAAUGUUGAAAAAUUAGCGGAUGACUUGUGGCUAGGGGUGAAAGGCCAAUCAAACUCGGAGAUAGCUGGUUCUCCCCGAAAGCUAUUUAGGUAGCGCCUCGGACGAAUACUACUGGGGUAGAGCACUGUUAAGGCUAGGGGGUCAUCCCGACUUACCAACCCUUUGCAAACUCCGAAUACCAGUAAGUACUAUCCGGGAGACACACGGCGGGUGCUAACGUCCGUCGUGGAGAGGGAAACAACCCAGACCGCCAGCUAAGGUCCCAAAGUAUUGCUAAGUGGGAAACGAUGUGGGAAGGCUCAGACAGCUAGGAUGUUGGCUUAGAAGCAGCCAUCAUUUAAAGAAAGCGUAAUAGCUCACUAGUCGAGUCGGCCUGCGCGGAAGAUGUAACGGGGCUAAGCAAUACACCGAAGCUGCGGCAAUAUCUUUUAGAUAUUGGGUAGGGGAGCGUUCUGUAAGCCGUUGAAGGUGAAUCGUAAGGUUUGCUGGAGGUAUCAGAAGUGCGAAUGCUGACAUGAGUAACGACAAAGGGGGUGAAAAACCUCCUCGCCGGAAGACCAAGGGUUCCUGUCCAACGUUAAUCGGGGCAGGGUGAGUCGACCCCUAAGGUGAGGCCGAAAGGCGUAAUCGAUGGGAAACGGGUUAAUAUUCCCGUACUUCUGACUAUUGCGAUGGGGGGACGGAGAAGGCUAGGUGGGCCAGGCGACGGUUGUCCUGGUUCAAGUGCGUAGGCUUGAGAGUUAGGUAAAUCCGGCUCUCUCUAAGGCUGAGACACGACGUCGAGCUACUACGGUAGUGAAGUCAUUGAUGCCAUGCUUCCAGGAAAAGCCUCUAAGCUUCAGAUAGUCAGGAAUCGUACCCCAAACCGACACAGGUGGUCGGGUAGAGAAUACCAAGGCGCUUGAGAGAACUCGGGUGAAGGAACUAGGCAAAAUGGUACCGUAACUUCGGGAGAAGGUACGCUCUUGAUGGUGAAGUCCCUCGCGGAUGGAGCUGACGAGAGUCGCAGAUACCAGGUGGCUGCAACUGUUUAUUAAAAACACAGCACUGUGCAAAAUCGCAAGAUGACGUAUACGGUGUGACGCCUGCCCGGUGCCGGAAGGUUAAUUGAUGGGGUUAGCGCAAGCGAAGCUCUUGAUCGAAGCCCCGGUAAACGGCGGCCGUAACUAUAACGGUCCUAAGGUAGCGAAAUUCCUUGUCGGGUAAGUUCCGACCUGCACGAAUGGCGUAAUGAUGGCCACGCUGUCUCCACCCGAGACUCAGUGAAAUUGAAAUCGCUGUGAAGAUGCAGUGUACCCGCGGCUAGACGGAAAGACCCCGUGAACCUUUACUACAGCUUGGCACUGAACAUUGAACCUACAUGUGUAGGAUAGGUGGGAGGCUAUGAAGACGUGACGCCAGUUGCGUUGGAGCCGUCCUUGAAAUACCACCCUUGUAUGUUUGAUGUUCUAACUUAGACCCGUUAUCCGGGUUGAGGACAGUGCCUGGUGGGUAGUUUGACUGGGGCGGUCUCCUCCCAAAGAGUAACGGAGGAGCACGAAGGUGGGCUAAUCACGGUUGGACAUCGUGAGGUUAGUGCAAUGGCAUAAGCCCGCUUAACUGCGAGAAUGACGGUUCGAGCAGGUGCGAAAGCAGGUCAUAGUGAUCCGGUGGUUCUGUAUGGAAGGGCCAUCGCUCAACGGAUAAAAGGUACUCCGGGGAUAACAGGCUGAUACCGCCCAAGAGUUCAUAUCGACGGCGGUGUUUGGCACCUCGAUGUCGGCUCAUCACAUCCUGGGGCUGAAGUCGGUCCCAAGGGUAUGGCUGUUCGCCAUUUAAAGUGGUACGCGAGCUGGGUUUAGAACGUCGUGAGACAGUUCGGUCCCUAUCUGCCGUGGGCGUUGGAAGAUUGAAGGGGGCUGCUCCUAGUACGAGAGGACCGGAGUGGACGAACCUCUGGUGUUCGGGUUGUGUCGCCAGACGCAUUGCCCGGUAGCUAAGUUCGGAAUUGAUAAGCGCUGAAAGCAUCUAAGCGCGAAGCGAGCCCUGAGAUGAGUCUUCCCUGACAGUUUAACUGUCCUAAAGGGUUGUUCGAGACUAGAACGUUGAUAGGCAGGGUGUGUAAGCGUUGUGAGGCGUUGAGCUAACCUGUACUAAUUGCCCGUGAGGCUUAACCAUACAACACCCAAGGGGUUUUGUA